RNAcentral lists this ribosomal RNA (253 nucleotides) under uncultured bacterium. Its description in RNAcentral is "partial 16S ribosomal RNA". It matches the Rfam family "Bacterial small subunit ribosomal RNA", at positions 524 to 776 of the family's 1533-position model. The record is from RNAcentral.
UACGUAGGGUGCGAGCGUUGUCCGGAAUUAUUGGGCGUAAAGAGCUCGUAGGCGGUCUGUCGCGUCUGCUGUGAAAUCCCGAGGCUCAACCUCGGGCUUGCAGUGGGUACGGGCAGGCUAGAGUGCGGUAGGGGAGAAUGGAACUCCUGGUGUAGCGGUGGAAUGCGCAGAUAUCAGGAAGAACACCAAUGGCGAAGGCAGCUCGCUGGGACGGUACUGACGCUGAGGCGCGAAAGCGUGGGGAGCAAACAGG